Molecule: ribosomal RNA, 301 nt
Filed under: uncultured bacterium
Lineage: Bacteria
Description: partial 16S ribosomal RNA
Rfam family: Bacterial small subunit ribosomal RNA
Source: RNAcentral
CAGCAGCCACGGUAAUACGAAGGGUGCAGGCGUUAAUCGGAAUUACUGGGCGUAAAGCGUGCGUAGGCGGUUUGUUAAGUCUGUUGUGAAAGCCCCGGGCUCAACCUGGGAAUGGCAAUGGAUACUGGCGAGCUAGAGUGUGUCAGAGGAUGGUGGAAUUCCCGGUGUAGCGGUGAAAUGCGUAGAGAUCGGGAGGAACAUCAGUGGCGAAGGCGGCCAUCUGGGACAACACUGACGCUGAGGCACGAAAGCGUGGGGAGCAAACAGGAUUAGAUACCCCCGUAGUCCCUGUCUCUUAUAC